Molecule: transfer RNA, 73 nt
Filed under: Pelodiscus sinensis (Chinese soft-shelled turtle)
Lineage: Eukaryota; Metazoa; Chordata; Testudines; Trionychidae
Rfam family: tRNA
About the family: Transfer RNA (tRNA) molecules are approximately 80 nucleotides in length. Their secondary structure includes four short double-helical elements and three loops (D, anti-codon, and T loops). Further hydrogen bonds mediate the characteristic L-shaped molecular structure. tRNAs have two regions of fundamental functional importance: the anti-codon, which is responsible for specific mRNA codon recognition, and the 3' end, to which the tRNAs corresponding amino acid is attached (by aminoacyl-tRNA synthetases). tRNAs cope with the degeneracy of the genetic code in two manners: having more than one tRNA (with a specific anti-codon) for a particular amino acid; and 'wobble' base-pairing, i.e. permitting non-standard base-pairing at the 3rd anti-codon position.
Source: Rfam by way of RNAcentral
ACCUGGCUAGCUCAAUUGGUAGAUCAUGAGACUUUUAAUCUCAGGGUCAUGGGUUCAAGCACCCUGCUGGGCA